RNAcentral lists this ribosomal RNA (423 nucleotides) under uncultured bacterium. Its description in RNAcentral is "bacterial SSU rRNA". It matches the Rfam family "Bacterial small subunit ribosomal RNA", at positions 355 to 775 of the family's 1533-position model. The record is from RNAcentral.
UGAGGAAUAUUGGUCAAUGGGCGAGAGCCUGAACCAGCCAAGUCGCGUGAAGGAAGAAGGAUCUAUGGUUCGUAAACUUCUUUUGCAGGGGAAUAAAGUGCAGGACGUGUCCUGUUUUGUAUGUACCCUGAGAAUAAGGAUCGGCUAACUCCGUGCCAGCAGCCGCGGUAAUACGGAGGAUCCGAGCGUUAUCCGGAUUUAUUGGGUUUAAAGGGUGCGUAGGUGGUUUGAUAAGUCAGCGGUGAAAGUUUGCAGCUUAACUGUAAAAAUGCCGUUGAAACUGUCGGACUUGAGUGUAAAUGAGGUAGGCGGAAUGCGUGGUGUAGCGGUGAAAUGCAUAGAUAUCACGCAGAACUCCGAUUGCGAAGGCAGCUUACUAAGCUACAACUGACACUGAAGCACGAAAGCGUGGGGAUCAAACAG